RNAcentral lists this long non-coding RNA (709 nucleotides) under Mus musculus (house mouse). Its description in RNAcentral is "long non-coding RNA chr6:128532675-128533384". Lineage: Eukaryota; Metazoa; Chordata; Mammalia; Rodentia; Muridae. The record is from RNAcentral.
UUUUAAAUUGCCUUUUUGUAAGAAACUAGAACGAAGGUCUUCACUCGAGGGCACAUGUAAAAUACAUGGACAAUGGGAAGAGGUUUUCACAUACUGAAAUAACUCUCGAGUCAUGCUAACCGGGAGAGGCACCCGGGCUAACUGUAGGGCAGUGAUUGCUGCAACAAUCAUAUGAUUAUGUACACAAUUUCAAGGGUUCCAGAAACUAUGUUGAAAUAGACCGAGGCCAAAGUUGAAUUUGCGUGGGAGAUUUUUGCCAAAUGUCAAACAUAAACCUUGUAGAGUCAGGGAGAUAGCUCAGCAGACCAAGGCUGUGUCCAAACCCCGAUGACUUGAUUUUGAGCCUCAGAUCACAUAGUAAGAGGUAGUAAUCCUUGUGCUCUGAUCUCCACAUGGGCACUAUGGCAAGUGCCCGACCCCAUAAAAUAAACAAGUAAGUGUAAAAUGAUAAACCCGGUGGCAUUCCAACAACUAGCAUGCAUUUAUCAAGAUUAACAAAUCUAUACUCUACUAACCAUCGAAACUUCAGUGACAAUGGCCAAAAGAGGCUGUUGUAAAUAAAAAGCAAAACUGUGGCUGAAUCACAGUAUUAAAUAUUUACACCAGUAAGGGUUGGAGGAGUUGGUUUUUGUUUUUGUUUUUUUUUUCAUUGCUGAUAAUUGUGGUAUGUUAAUUAGACAACAGAUUUUUGAAAUUAGCAAAUAAAACU